Molecule: ribosomal RNA, 497 nt
Filed under: uncultured bacterium
Lineage: Bacteria
Description: partial 16S ribosomal RNA
Rfam family: Bacterial small subunit ribosomal RNA
Source: RNAcentral
GAUGAACGCUGGCGGCGUGCCUAAUACAUGCAAGUCGAGCGAACGGACGAGAAGCUUGCUUCUCUGAUGUUAGCGGCGGACGGGUGAGUAACACGUGGAUAACCUACCUAUAAGACUGGGAUAACUUCGGGAAACCGUAGCUAAUACCGGAUAAUAUUUUGAACCGCAUGGUUCAAAAGUGAAAGACGGUCUUGCUGUCACUUAUAGAUGGAUCCGCGCUGCAUUAGCUAGUUGGUAAGGUAACGGCUUACCAAGGAAACGAUGCAUAGCCGACCUGAGAGGGUGAUCGGCCACACUGGAACUGAGACACGGUCCAGACUCCUACGGGAGGCAGCAGUAGGGAAUCUUCCGCAAUGGGCGAAAGCCUGACGGAGCAACGCCGCGUGAGUGAUGAAGGUCUUCGGAUCGUAAAACUCUGUUAUUAGGGAAGGACAUAUGUGUAAGUAACUGUGCACAUCUUGACGGUACCUAAUCAGAAAGCCACGGCUAACUACGUG